UACGAAGGGGGCUAGCGUUGUUCGGAAUUACUGGGCGUAAAGGGCGCGUAGGCGGUGUGUCAAGUCAGGCGUGAAAGCCCCGGGCUCAACCUGGGAACCGCGCUUGAGACUGGCACGCUCGAGUCCGGAAGAGGAUGGUGGAAUUCCCAGUGUAGAGGUGAAAUUCGUAGAUAUUGGGAAGAACACCGAUGGCGAAGGCAGCCAUCUGGACCGGCACUGACGCUGAGGCGCGAAAGCGUGGGGAGCAAACAGG
RNAcentral lists this ribosomal RNA (253 nucleotides) under uncultured bacterium. RNAcentral's name for it is "partial 16S ribosomal RNA". It matches the Rfam family "Bacterial small subunit ribosomal RNA", at positions 524 to 776 of the family's 1533-position model. The record is from RNAcentral.